UACAGAGGUCCCAAGCGUUGUUCGGAUUCACUGGGCGUAAAGGGUGCGUAGGCGGUCGGGUAAGUCUGAUGUGAAAUCUCCGGGCUCAACCCGGAAAUGGCAUUGGAUACUAUUCGGCUCGAGGUCUGGAGGGGGGACUGGAAUACUUGGUGUAGCAGUGAAAUGCGUAGAUAUCAAGUGGAACACCAGUGGCGAAGGCGAGUCCCUGGACAGAUCCUGACGCUGAGGCACGAAAGCUAGGGGAGCAAACGGG
Molecule: ribosomal RNA, 253 nt
Filed under: uncultured bacterium
Lineage: Bacteria
Description: partial 16S ribosomal RNA
Rfam family: Bacterial small subunit ribosomal RNA
Source: RNAcentral